GGCUGGGUACAGUGGUGUGAUCUUGGCUCACUGCAACUUCCAUCUCCCAGAUUCAAGCAAUUCUCCUGCCUCAGCCUCCAAGCAGCUGGGAUUACAGGCGCACACCACCACUCUAGGCUAAUUUUUGUAUUUAGUAGAGACAGGGUUUCACCAUGUGGUCUCGCUCUGUCUGGAGUGCAGUGGUGUAGUCAUAGCUCAGUGCAUCCUCAAAUUCCUGAGAUCAAGCAAU
Molecule: long non-coding RNA, 229 nt
Filed under: Homo sapiens (human)
Lineage: Eukaryota; Metazoa; Chordata; Mammalia; Primates; Hominidae
Description: non-protein coding lnc-DUSP26-6:2
Source: RNAcentral